AUACUUACUUGGCACUGAGGAUGCCUUGAUCAACUAGGAGGCUCCCCCGAGCAGAGACCUCUCAUUGCACUGCGAGGGGUUGACGUUCUCCACUUUCACAAAUUGUGAAUGAUUGGGUGCACAAUUUUUGGAAGUUGGGACUGCGUUAGCGCUGUCCCUAU
Parasteatoda tepidariorum (common house spider) is the source of this 161-nucleotide small nuclear RNA. RefSeq annotates it as U1 spliceosomal RNA. NCBI's taxonomy places the organism in Eukaryota, Metazoa, Arthropoda, Arachnida, Araneae, Theridiidae. The record is from RefSeq and is a predicted model, not a curated record.